GAUGAACGCUGGCGGCGUGCCUAAUACAUGCAAGUCGAGCGAACGGACGAGAAGCUUGCUUCUCUGAUGUUAGCGGCGGACGGGUGAGUAACACGUGGAUAACCUACCUAUAAGACUGGGAUAACUUCGGGAAACCGGAGCUAAUACCGGAUAAUAUUUUGAACCGCAUGGUUCAAAAGUGAAAGACGGUCUUGCUGUCACUUAUAGAUGGAUCCGCGCUGCAUUAGCUAGUUGGUAGGGUAACGGCUUACCAAGGCAACGAUGCAUAGCCGACCUGAGAGGGUGAUAGGCCACACUGGAACUGAGACACGGUCCAGACUCCUACGGGAGGCAGCAGUAGGGAAUCUUCCGCAAUGGGCGAAAGCCUGACGGAGCAACGCCGCGUGAGUGAUGAAGGUCUUCGGAUCGUAAAACUCUGUUAUUAGGGAAGAACAUAUGUGUAAGUAACUGUGCACAUCUUGACGGUACCUAAUCAGAAAGCCACGGCUAACUACGUG
Molecule: ribosomal RNA, 497 nt
Filed under: uncultured bacterium
Lineage: Bacteria
Description: partial 16S ribosomal RNA
Rfam family: Bacterial small subunit ribosomal RNA
Source: RNAcentral